Molecule: ribosomal RNA, 455 nt
Filed under: uncultured bacterium
Lineage: Bacteria
Description: bacterial SSU rRNA
Rfam family: Bacterial small subunit ribosomal RNA
Source: RNAcentral
UACGGAAGGCAGCAGUGGGGAAGUAUUGCACAAUGGGCGAAAGCCUGAUGCAGCUAUGCCGCGUGUAUGAAGAAGGCCUUAGGGUUGUAAAGUACUUUCAUCGGGGAGGAAAAACAAAACUAAUAAUUUUAUUUCUUGACGUUACCCGAAAAAGAAGCACCGGCUAACUCCGUGCCAGCAGCCGCGGUAAUACGGAGGGUGCUAGCGUUAAUCAGAAUUACUGGGCGUAAAGAGCACGUAGGUGGUUUUUUUAAGUCAGAUGUGAAAUCCCUGGGCUUAACCUGGAACUGCAUUUUGAAACUGAAAUACUAGAGUAUCGUAGAGGGAGGUAGAAUUCUAGGUGUAGCGGUGAAAUGCGUAGAUAUCUGGAGGAAUACCUGUGGCGAAAGCGGCCUCCUAAACGAAUACUGACACUGAGGUGCGAAAGCGUGGGGAGCAAACAGGGAUUAGAUACC